UAUAAAUAUUAAGUUAUUAGAAACAAUUAUUUAUUUAUUUUUUUAAAGAAAGGAAACAAUUUCUCGUUUGAACCGGUGGCAAUUAAAAAAAACCACCCUACCUUUUACUUCUAUUUCUCCUUUCUUUUUUCAUUUUUGACCAUUCACACUCUUUCGAAACUCCUCCUCUUUCGAAACCUCUCAUCAUCAUCCUCCAGGCCUCUACCACCGCUGUCACCUAUAACGUCGACUAUGGUUCCCACUUUCACUCCUCCAUCACUUUCGUCACUGCAACCGCCACCGUUCUCUCUACAUUAUUAUCUUAAAUUAGCUUCACAACCAUGAGAACUUCCUGCCUAGAUUUCCCUCCGUCACUGCUGCGAGAAGCUCAAGCCACCUGCACCGGAACCCCCUCCGUCACUACCGUCACCUGCCCUAGAACUCUCUCCACCGUUUCCUCUUAAUUUUUCUCUUAAAUUAGCAGCGAGCAAUAGAGAAGGAUCCUGAAAACUCCGUGGUUGGAUUUGAUGCUUCAGAUCUUAGGAUUUAUAAAAAUUGGGUUCAUGGAAUCCGGUUUUCCAUCAAAAGCAGCCGCAGUUUGAGGCUUUAGCUAUUCAGUUAGCCAAAAGGGAAGGAGAAUUGCUUCAUGAAAAGGAGGAGGUGAAAAGGCUAGCAUACUUUUUGAAGCAGGGUUAGGAAGUGUAACGUAGAGUCCAUAUACUCCCUUUCAGGGUCGACCUGUCUGCACUUUGGUCAGGUUGUAUCAACACGGGUAUGGCUAAGUCAAAUGGUAAAUCCUAGCAUCAAAACUGCUUGAUAUAUACCAGAAAGCUCAGGACAUGGGCCUCAUAUUUAUAUUGAUUAGACAAGGGUUCUAUAUAGUACUAGAGGAACAGUUGGAUUUUCCUAUUCUCUAUGCUUCUGCAAAAGAAGGAUGGGCAUCAUCAGAGUACACCAAGAUCCCCGCUGAAGAAGCUAAGAAUAUGUCGAAUUUGCUUGAUAACACAGCGAAUCUUGAUGCUCCUUUCCAGAUGCUGGUUUGUAUUUGAAUAUGCAUUACUAGAAACUUUCUUGGAUUGUGAUUUGGGGUGGCCUGCAGAUUUAGUCUUCUUUACUGAUGAGGUUAUGACUUUUGCAAAAAAUGCGGAUAAUGAGUUGGUGCAAACCAAAGAGAAAGCUAAUAGUUGCGCACCGAAUGUGCUAAUUAUGUAAUGAGAUAUAUAUGUAUGAGAUAAUACCUUUCAUAGCGAUUGCAAGGGAAAUUUGAAAGAGGAGUAUUUGGCAAGACUUGCAGCCUACAACGAUGUUGAAUUAGAUGAGAUUUGAGAACAAUGCGCUAAGUUUUUUAGGCUUAAUUUGUUGUUGAAAGACUAGUUAUCUUAUUAAUCACUGUUAUGAUUAGUCGCGUUUAGCUUAAUAAAACAAUGUAACACUUUUCUAUAUAUCUACUUUUAUUUAGCUUAUUGAUUGUCAUUACAUUUU
Molecule: long non-coding RNA, 1461 nt
Organism: Chenopodium quinoa (quinoa)
Lineage: Eukaryota; Viridiplantae; Streptophyta; Magnoliopsida; Caryophyllales; Amaranthaceae
Exons: 6
Source: RefSeq, a predicted model, not a curated record